RNAcentral lists this ribosomal RNA (505 nucleotides) under uncultured bacterium. RNAcentral describes it as "partial 16S ribosomal RNA". It matches the Rfam family "Bacterial small subunit ribosomal RNA", at positions 30 to 523 of the family's 1533-position model. The record is from RNAcentral.
AUUGAACGCUGGCGGCAUGCCUUACACAUGCAAGUCGAACGGCAGCGGGGGAGAAGCUUGCUUUUCCUGCCGGCGAGUGGCGAACGGGUGAGUAAUACAUCGGAACGUGCCCUGUAGUGGGGGAUAACUAGUCGAAAGAUUAGCUAAUACCGCAUACGACCUGAGGGUGAAAGUGGGGGACGGCAAGGCCUCAUGCUAUAGGAGCGGCCGAUGUCUGAUUAGCUAGUUGGUGGGGUAAAGGCCUACCAAGGCGACGAUCAGUAGCUGGUCUGAGAGGACGAUCAGCCACACUGGGACUGAGACACGGCCAGACUCCUACGGGAGGCAGCAGUGGGGAAUCUUGGACAAUGGGCGAAAGCCUGAUCCAGCAAUGCCGCGUGUGAAGAAGGCCUUCGGGUUGUAAAGCACUUUUGUCCGGAAAGAAAUGGCUCUGGUUAAUACCUGGGGUCGAUGGCGGUACCGGAAGAAUAAGGACCGGCUAACUACGUGCCAGCCGCCGCCGUAA